Molecule: ribosomal RNA, 403 nt
Filed under: uncultured bacterium
Lineage: Bacteria
Description: partial 16S ribosomal RNA
Rfam family: Bacterial small subunit ribosomal RNA
Source: RNAcentral
AUUGAACGCUGGCGGCAGGCCUAACACAUGCAAGUCGAGCGCGCGGCGGACGGGUGAGUAAUGUAUGGGGACUGCCCGCUAGAGGGGGAUAACUACUGUGAACGGUAGCUAAUACCGCAUACUAUCGGAUAACCCAUAUGGGAUUAGCUAGUAGUUGAGGUAAUGGCUCACCUAGGCGACGAUCCCUAGCUGGUCUGAGAGGAUGAUCAGCCACACUGGGACUGAGACACGGCCCAGACUCCUACGGAGGCAGCAGUGGGGAAUAUUGCGCAAUGGGCGAAAGCCUGAUGCAGCCAUGCCGCGUGUAUGAAGAAGGCCUUAGGGUUGUAAAGUACUUUCAGUCGAGAGGCGUUACCGACAGAAGAAGCACCGGCUAACUCCGUGCCAGCAGCCGCGGUAAUAC